GAUGAACGCUAGCUACAGGCUUAACACAUGCAAGUCGAGGGGUAACGAGAGGAAAGCUUGCUUUCCUUGUCGACGACCGGCGCACGGGUGAGUAACGCGUAUCCAACCUGCCCCCAACUAAGGAAUAACCUUGCGAAAGUAAGACUAAUACCUUAUAAUUUCCUCAGAUGACAUCUGACGAGGAAUAAAGAUUUAUCGGUUGUGGAUGGGGAUGCGUCUGAUUAGCUUGUUGGCGGGGUAACGGCCCACCAAGGCAACGAUCAGUAGGGGUUCUGAGAGGAAGGUCCCCCACAAUGGAACUGAGACACGGUCCAAACUCCUACGGGAGGCAGCAGUGAGGAAUAUUGGUCAAUGGGCGGAAGCCUGAACCAGCCAAGUAGCGUGCAGGAUGACGGCCCUAUGGGUUGUAAACUGCUUUUAUACAGGAAUAAAGUUAGCCACGUGUGGUUAUUUGUAGGUACUGUAUGAAUAAGGACCGGCUAAUUCCGUGCCAGCCGCCGCAGUAA
This 506-nucleotide ribosomal RNA is filed under the name uncultured bacterium. Its description in RNAcentral is "partial 16S ribosomal RNA". It matches the Rfam family "Bacterial small subunit ribosomal RNA", at positions 28 to 523 of the family's 1533-position model. The record is from RNAcentral.